GACUGAUCGCACAAAUUACCCAUUUAAGGCGGGAAUGCGCCGAUCCAGCACCAAAAUUUUAUUAAAGAUAUAUUUCUGCUAUUGCUAUAAUAAACAAAUAAUAAUAAUAAAAAAAUCAAAGAUUUCUCCCUUUUUCACAACUAAACCUAAAAGCUUUAAGGGUUUAUUCCUUUCCCUUUUCUUCUCCUGGAAAAACCUUCGUCACACCACCGGACCACCACCAUUCUUGGUGGCCAGCGACGCACGAAAAUGAACCUUUCGACCCUGUUCCAAGGUAAGUUCGAGUAAGCCCUUUUCCUUCAUUUUCGGAUCUAAAAAGAAUGAAAGAAAAGCAAAAUAAAAACUAGACCAAAAUAGCAAAAUCCCUUGAAAUCACCUUAUCGAAACUUUUUUUUAUAGAAUCUGCGUGUCUCUGUAUUAUAUUUAUGUGGAAAAAAAGAUCCCCUUACACUGUUUACAAUCGGCUUUAUAUAGCCGCAAUAAAAAUAAAAAUUACAAAUUUCUGAUUUUCUGCUUUAUUUGUUACUGCUAUUUUUUUGCUGUUAUUUGGCUGUCAAAUUUGUUAUUCUAUUUUGUAGGUACAGCUAAAGGGUGGCGCGUGUGGAGGUCGUUGUGGAGGUGGCUUGCGGUAGUCGAAAGUUAGUGUUACCCAUGUUGAAAAUUUAUUUAUUUUUUGGGCCAUUCGGGCCUAAGUUUUUAAUCAUUUUGGGCUUGUAUUUGGGUAAGGUUUGGUCUGUAAAAAACAGGCCAAUUGGGCCGUGUUUAUUUGGGUUUUGUAAUGUUGGACUUUGGACCUUAUUUUGUUUUAUAGUUAUGCCCGGGCAGAUUGGGCCUCUUACAAUUAUCAUUAUUAUUACUAUUAUUAUUAUUAUUUUAAAAUUAUUUUUACAAACUUUUCAUUCAUUUAUUUAAUAUUAGGAUUUUAACUCCAAAAUUUUAGUUUUUUUUACUUUACUAUUUUUCUUAUAUUUAUUUUACUUGUACGUAUAUUUUUACCAUUAUUAUUUUGUUUAUAUUAUUUCAUAUAUUGCAUUACGAGAUGUACCUUUAAUUUCAUUUGUAUUUUAAAGUGGUUCUCGAAUUUUCAAUGCUUUUAUAAAUAAUUUUCUCUUAUGUUAUUCGUGC
This 1125-nucleotide long non-coding RNA is filed under the name Gossypium barbadense (sea-island cotton). Its description in RNAcentral is "long non-coding RNA (GBAR_LNC012231)". The record is from RNAcentral. Lineage: Eukaryota; Viridiplantae; Streptophyta; Magnoliopsida; Malvales; Malvaceae.